This 469-nucleotide ribosomal RNA is filed under the name uncultured bacterium. RNAcentral's name for it is "bacterial SSU rRNA". It matches the Rfam family "Bacterial small subunit ribosomal RNA", at positions 37 to 507 of the family's 1533-position model. The record is from RNAcentral.
AGACGACGCGUGGCGGCGUGCUUAACACAUGCAAGUCGAACGGGGUCCAUGAGAGCUUGCUCUCGGAAGACCUAGUGGCGAACGGGUGAGUAACACGUGAGAAACCUGCCUCGGAGUGGGGAAUAACUCGAGGAAACUCGAGCUAAUACCGCAUACCUUCAUUUGACCGCAUGGUCAGUUGAAGAAAGAUUUAUCGCUCUGAGAGGGUCUCGCGGCCUAUCAGCUUGUUGGUGGGGUAACGGCCUACCAAGGCAACGACGGGUAGCUGGAUUGAGAGAUCGACCAGCCACACUGGAACUGAGACACGGUCCAGACUCCUACGGGAGGCAGCAGUGGGGAAUCUUGCGCAAUGGGCGAAAGCCUGACGCAGCAACGCCGCGUGCGGGAUGAAGGCCUUCGUGGUUGUAAACCGCUUUCAGUAGGGACGAAAAUGACGGUACCUGCAGAAGAAGCUCCGGCUAACUACGUG